RNAcentral lists this small RNA (27 nucleotides) under Bombyx mori (domestic silkworm). RNAcentral describes it as "ovarian small RNA-38260". Lineage: Eukaryota; Metazoa; Arthropoda; Insecta; Lepidoptera; Bombycidae. The record is from RNAcentral.
UUUAUUACCAAAUAAAAAUGGUUACGC